AAUUCUCAACCUUUUCAGCUUUUACAAGUUGAAUUGGCUUGGAUGUGGAGGUUUUUGCAGGCUUCUCAGAAGUCAGCUCCUCUUAAAUGCAUUAGCGGAACCUUUGUGGACCAGCUUUGGUGUGAUAAUUAUCUACGCCAUGGUUGUGAAGCAGCUAUUACAUGGGGUUCAGCUUCUAACAGUCCAUUGACUUGGACAAUUUCUGACA
Molecule: unclassified non-coding RNA, 208 nt
Filed under: Collybia nuda
Lineage: Eukaryota; Fungi; Basidiomycota; Agaricomycetes; Agaricales; Clitocybaceae
Description: Lepista nuda partial internal transcribed spacer 2
Source: RNAcentral